AGGCCAAUGGCAGUCAGAAAU
This 21-nucleotide microRNA is filed under the name Ornithorhynchus anatinus (platypus). Its description in RNAcentral is "oan-miR-1401-3p". The record is from miRBase by way of RNAcentral. Lineage: Eukaryota; Metazoa; Chordata; Mammalia; Monotremata; Ornithorhynchidae.